Molecule: ribosomal RNA, 1346 nt
Filed under: uncultured bacterium
Lineage: Bacteria
Description: partial 16S ribosomal RNA
Rfam family: Bacterial small subunit ribosomal RNA
Source: RNAcentral
GACGAACGCUGGCGGCGUGCUUAACACAUGCAAGUCGAACGGAAAGGCCCUGCUUUUGUGGGGUGCUCGAGUGGCGAACGGGUGAGUAACACGUGAGUAACCUGCCCUUGACUUUGGGAUAACUUCAGGAAACUGGGGCUAAUACCGGAUAGGAGCUCCUGCUGCAUGGUGGGGGUUGGAAAGUUUCGGCGGUUGGGGAUGGACUCGCGGCUUAUCAGCUUGUUGGUGGGGUAGUGGCUUACCAAGGCUUUGACGGGUAGCCGGCCUGAGAGGGUGACCGGCCACAUUGGGACUGAGAUACGGCCCAGACUCCUACGGGAGGCAGCAGUGGGGAAUAUUGCACAAUGGGCGGAAGCCUGAUGCAGCAACGCCGCGUGCGGGAUGACGGCCCUCGGGUUGUAAACCGCUUUCGCCUGUGACGAAGCGUGAGUGACGGUAAUGGGUAAAGAAGCACCGGCUAACUACGUGCCAGCAGCCGCGGUGAUACGUAGGGUGCGAGCGUUGUCCGGAUUUAUUGGGCGUAAAGGGCUCGUAGGUGGUUGAUCGCGUCGGAAGUGUAAUCUUGGGGCUUAACCCUGAGCGUGCUUUCGAUACGGGUUGACUUGAGGAAGGUAGGGGAGAAUGGAAUUCCUGGUGGAGCGGUGGAAUGCGCAGAUAUCAGGAGGAACACCAGUGGCGAAGGCGGUUCUCUGGGCCUUUCCUGACGCUGAGGAGCGAAAGCGUGGGGAGCGAACAGGCUUAGAUACCCUGGUAGUCCACGCUGUAAACGGUGGGUACUAGGUGUGGGGUCCAUUCCACGGGUUCCGUGCCGUAGCUAACGCUUUAAGUACCCCGCCUGGGGAGUACGGCCGCAAGGCUAAAACUCAAAGGAAUUGACGGGGCCCCGCACAAGCGGCGGAGCAUGCGGAUUAAUUCGAUGCAACGCGUAGAACCUUACCUGGGUUUGACAUGGAUCGGGAGUGCUCAGAGAUGGGUGUGCCUCUUUUGGGGUCGGUUCACAGGUGGUGCAUGCCUGUCGUCAGCUCGUGUCGUGAGAUGUUGGGUUAAGUCCCGCAACGAGCGCAACCCUUGUUCACUGUUGCCAGCACGUUAUGGUGGGGACUCAGUGGAGACCGCCGGGGUCAACUCGGAGGAAGGUGGGGAUGACGUCAAGUCAUCAUGCCCCUUAUGUCCAGGGCUUCACGCAUGCUACAAUGGCUGGUACAGAGAGUGGCGAGCCUGUGAGGGUGAGCGAAUCUCGGAAAGCCGGUCUCAGCUCGGAUUGGGGUCUGCAACUCGACCUCAUGAAGUCGGAGUCGCUAGUAAUCGCAGAUCAGCAACGCUGCGGUGAAAAGGUUCCCGGGGCU